RNAcentral lists this ribosomal RNA (468 nucleotides) under uncultured bacterium. Its description in RNAcentral is "partial 16S ribosomal RNA". It matches the Rfam family "Bacterial small subunit ribosomal RNA", at positions 28 to 507 of the family's 1533-position model. The record is from RNAcentral.
GACGAACGCUGGCGGCGUGCUUAACACAUGCAAGUCGAACGGAAAGGCCCUGCUUUUGUGGGGUGCUCGUUUGGCGAACGGGUGAGUAACACGUGAGUAACCUGCCCUCGACUUUGUGAUAACUUCAGGAAACUGGGGCUAAUACCGGAUAGGAGCUCCUGCUGCAUGGUGUGGGUUGGAGAGUUUCGGCGGUGGGGGCUGGACUCGCAGCUUAUCCGCUUGUUGGUGGGGUAGUGGCUUACCACGGUUUUGACGGGUAGCCGGCCUGAGAGGGUGACCGGCCACAUUGGGACUGCGAUACGGCCCAGACUCGUACGGGAGGCAGCAGUGGGGAAUAUUGCAGAAUAGGCGGAAGCCUGAUGCAGCAACGCCGCGUGCGGGAUGACGGCCUUCGGGUUGUAAACCGAUUUCGCCUGUGACGAGGCGUGCGUGACGGUAAUGAGUAAAAAAGCACCGGCUAACUACGUG